UGGCGAACGGGUGAGUAAUAUAUCGGAACGUGCCCAGUCGUGGGGGAUAACGUAGAGAAAUUUACGCUAAUACCGCAUACGAUCUACGGAUGAAAGCGGGGGAUUCGCAAGAACCUCGCGCGAUUGGAGCGGCUGAUAUCAGAUUAGGUUGUUGGUGAGGUAAAAGCUCACCAAGCCGACGAUCUGUAGCUGGUCUGAGAGGACGACCAGCCACACUGGGACUGAGACACGGCCCAGACUCCUACGGGAGGCAGCAGUGGGGAAUUUUGGACAAUGGGCGCAAGCCUGAUCCAGCCAUGCCGCGUGCGGGAAGAAGGCCUUCGGGUUGUAAACCGCUUUUGUCAGGGAAGAAAUCCUUUGAGAUAACACCUCGGAGGGAUGACGGUACCUGAAGAAUAAGCACCGGCUAACUACGUGCCAGCAGCCGCGGUAAUACGUAGGGUGCGAGCGUUAAUCGGAAUUACUGGGCGUAAAGCGUGCGCAGGCGGUCUUGCAAGACAGGUGUGAAAUCCCCGGGCUUAACCUGGGAACUGCACUUGUGAC
Molecule: ribosomal RNA, 543 nt
Filed under: uncultured Comamonadaceae bacterium
Lineage: Bacteria; Pseudomonadati; Pseudomonadota; Betaproteobacteria; Burkholderiales; Comamonadaceae
Description: bacterial SSU rRNA
Rfam family: Bacterial small subunit ribosomal RNA
Source: RNAcentral